GACGAACGCUGGCGGCGUGCUUAACACAUGCAAGUCGAACGGAAAGGCCUUUUCGGAGGUACUCGAGUGGCGAACGGGUGAGUAACACGUGGGUGAUCUGCCCUGCACUCUGGGAUAAGCCUGGGAAACUGGGUCUAAUACCGGAUAGGACCGCACUUUAGUGUGUGUGGUGGAAAGUUUUUUCGGUGUAGGAUGAGCCCGCGGCCUAUCAGCUUGUUGGUGGGGUAAUGGCCUACCAAGGCGGCGACGGGUAGCCGGACUGAGAGGUUGGUCGGCCACAUUGGGACUGAGAUACGGCCCAGACUCCUACGGGAGGCAGCAGUGGGGAAUAUUGCACAAUGGGCGCAAGCCUGAUGCAGCGACGCCGCGUGGGGGAUGACGGCCUUCGGGUUGUAAACUCCUUUCGCCAGGGACGAAGCGUUUUGUGACGGUACCUGGAGAAGAAGCACCGGCUAACUACGUGCCAGCAGCCGCGGUAAUACGUAGGGUGCAAGCGUUGUCCGGAAUUACUGGGCGUAAAGAGCUCGUAGGUGGUUUGUCACGUCGUCUGUGAAAUUCCACAGCUUAACUGUGGGCGUGCAGGCGAUACGGGCUGACUUGAGUACUGUAGGGGUAACUGGAAUUCCUGGUGUAGCGGUGAAAUGCGCAGAUAUCAGGAGGAACACCGAUGGCGAAGGCAGGUUACUGGGCAGUUACUGACGCUGAGGAGCGAAAGCAUGGGUAGCAAACAGG
RNAcentral lists this ribosomal RNA (732 nucleotides) under uncultured Corynebacterium sp. RNAcentral describes it as "bacterial SSU rRNA". It matches the Rfam family "Bacterial small subunit ribosomal RNA", at positions 28 to 776 of the family's 1533-position model. Lineage: Bacteria; Bacillati; Actinomycetota; Actinomycetes; Mycobacteriales; Corynebacteriaceae. The record is from RNAcentral.